UACGUAGGGUGCGAGCGUUGUCCGGAAUUAUUGGGCGUAAAGAGCUCGUAGGCGGUCUGUCGCGUCGGAUGUGAAAAUCCAGGGCUCAACCCUGGACCUGCAUUCGAUACGGGCAGACUAGAGUUCGGCAGGGGAGACCGGAAUUCCUGGUGUAGCGGUGAAAUGCGCAGAUAUCAGGAGGAACACCGGUGGCGAAGGCGGGUCUCUGGGCCGAUACUGACGCUGAGGAGCGAAAGCGUGGGGAGCGAACAGG
This 253-nucleotide ribosomal RNA is filed under the name uncultured bacterium. RNAcentral's name for it is "partial 16S ribosomal RNA". It matches the Rfam family "Bacterial small subunit ribosomal RNA", at positions 524 to 776 of the family's 1533-position model. The record is from RNAcentral.